AGCUGCAGUCCUCCUCCUCCUCCUCCUCCUCAUACGCAACAAACUUGGCAGUGAACAGCGAGUCUGGAGAGAGGACCUGGGUUUUGAGGUGUAAUCCUUUCGUCUUUCAGUGCUCAAAUACCAAUGAUGCCUUCAAACACGCAAGUGUAAUGGUGAAACAGCUACACAGACUUUGACUCUACAACUACAACUGCGCUAUGACAUGUCACCACGAGCUGCAGAUUCACACUCUCCAAAGUUUGAAAGGGUCCCCACGUCACUCUGCUGAUCUCUAGCCACUAAGAAAUUCCUUACAUAAGAUUCCUGUGCAAUGAAUUUCAAGUUCUAUAGAAUUACCAGCUCUCCUAUGCACUGCUUAUAGCAAAACAUAAAGUAUUAACUUCUGGAUUUAGAUUGCAUUUGUAUCUUAAAAAAAAAACAAUCUACCAAUUUUCCUAUUUUCUGUGAAGCAAAAUACUGUAUUGUAGUAAAGAAAUUUAGGCUGUACUGUUGGGUUCAUGUCAGUAAAUAAUGAAACACCCUAGAAAAAUUAAAGCUGUCUUCUCAAAAAGAUAAACGCAGUUAACGUUCUCUUUAACAUGACCUGG
Long non-coding RNA from Nannospalax galili (Upper Galilee mountains blind mole rat), 587 nucleotides. RefSeq lists it as uncharacterized. NCBI's taxonomy places the organism in Eukaryota, Metazoa, Chordata, Mammalia, Rodentia, Spalacidae. The record is from RefSeq and is a predicted model, not a curated record. The transcript is spliced from 3 exons.